AACUGAGUGAUGGUACCUGGAUCCGUUUCUUGUGCCUCCUGCGCUCCGCCAUGAUCCUCCAACUCAGCUCCUCCGGCGUGCGCGAGGCUGCGGACGCGUACACUCUGAAGUAUCGCGAGAUUAACCGAUUAAAAAACGAGUUUGAGUCAUAGUCGGUGUUUCCUACCUGUGAGCGGAUCUUAAGAGCUGGUCCCAGUUUGAGCCCCAGUGUGUCCAGUAGAUGCUCCUCUGACAGGAGCGGCAGUGUCUCCCCGUCGAUCAUGUGGUCCUUGAACGUCUGCAGAGUGAAAUCACACGAAAACGUCAGCACAACAAAGACACAACAGAAAGAAUAAAGACAGAAAAGUGUAGAAACCAACCUGAGCAUAUUCUGAACAUAAACUCACCAGGUGGAAGGAAACCAUUUCCAGGGACUGGGAACAUGUAAGGCAUGCCAGUGAGCGCUCCACCAGCGGAGGGAUACAUGAACUUCUCCUGGAAAGCUGAACAUUGGCUGGAUAUGUCUUUAUCAUUUGC
This is a long non-coding RNA of Sebastes umbrosus (honeycomb rockfish), 516 nucleotides long. RefSeq lists it as uncharacterized. The transcript has 3 exons. The record is from RefSeq and is a predicted model, not a curated record. NCBI's taxonomy places the organism in Eukaryota, Metazoa, Chordata, Actinopteri, Perciformes, Sebastidae.